UGGGGAAUUUUGGACAAUGGGGGAAACCCUGAUCCAGCCAUGCCGCGUGAGUGAAGAAGGCCUUCGGGUUGUAAAGCUCUUUCGGCUGGGAAGAAAUCGCACAGGCUAAUACUCUGUAUGGAUGACGGUACCAGCAUAAGAAGCACCGGCUAACUACGUGCCAGCAGCCGCGGUAAUACGUAGGGUGCGAGCGUUAAUCGGAAUUACUGGGCGUAAAGCGUGCGCAGGCGGUUGUGCAAGACAGAUGUGAAAUCCCCGGGCUCAACCUGGGAACUGCAUUUGUGACUGCACGACUAGAGUACGGCAGAGGGGGGUAGAAUUCCACGUGUAGCAGUGAAAUGCGUAGAGAUGUGGAGGAAUACCGAUGGCGAAGGCAGCCCCCUGGGCCGAUACUGACGCUCAUGCACGAAAGCGUGGGGAGCAAACA
This 427-nucleotide ribosomal RNA is filed under the name uncultured beta proteobacterium. RNAcentral's name for it is "partial 16S ribosomal RNA". It matches the Rfam family "Bacterial small subunit ribosomal RNA", at positions 355 to 774 of the family's 1533-position model. The record is from RNAcentral. Lineage: Bacteria; Pseudomonadati; Pseudomonadota; Betaproteobacteria.